UACGAAGGGGGCUAGCGUUGUUCGGAUUUACUGGGCGUAAAGCGCACGUAGGCGGAUCGUUAAGUCGGGGGUGAAAUCCUGGAGCUCAACUCCAGAACUGCCUUCGAUACUGGCGAUCUUGAGUCCGGAAGAGGUGAGUGGAACUCCUAGUGUAGAGGUGGAAUUCGUAGAUAUUAGGAAGAACACCAGUGGCAAAGGCGGCUCACUGGUCCGGUACUGACGCUGAGGUGCGAAAGCGUGGGGAGCAAACAGG
This 253-nucleotide ribosomal RNA is filed under the name uncultured bacterium. RNAcentral's name for it is "partial 16S ribosomal RNA". It matches the Rfam family "Bacterial small subunit ribosomal RNA", at positions 524 to 776 of the family's 1533-position model. The record is from RNAcentral.